UGGCUGUGAUUGGAAUUUAGAGAAUGUCAUGCACCACUCUGAUCUAGUGAUGAUAAUCUCUCAACCCAUACAAUUUCUGAGCCU
This is a small nucleolar RNA of Salvia hispanica, 84 nucleotides long. RefSeq annotates it as small nucleolar RNA Z221/R21b. The record is from RefSeq and is a predicted model, not a curated record. Lineage: Eukaryota; Viridiplantae; Streptophyta; Magnoliopsida; Lamiales; Lamiaceae.